CCAGAGAUGGAUUGGUGCCUUCGGGAACUGUGAGACAGGUGCUGCAUGGCUGUCGUCAGCUCGUGUUGUGAAAUGUUGGGUUAAGUCCCGCAACGAGCGCAACCCUUAUCCUUUGUUGCCAGCGGUUAGGCCGGGAACUCAAAGGAGACUGCCAGUGAUAAACUGGAGGAAGGUGGGGAUGACGUCAAGUCAUCAUGGCCCUUACGACCAGGGCUACACACGUGCUACAAUGGCAUAUACAAAGAGAAGCGACCUCGCGAGAGCAAGCGGACCUCAUAAAGUAUGUCGUAGUCCGGAUUGGAGUCUGCAACUCGACUCCAUGAAGUCGGAAUCGCUAGUAAUCGUAGAUCAGAAUGCUACGGUGAAUACGUUCCCGGGCCUUGUACACACCGCCCGUCACACCAUGGGAGUGGGUUGCAAAAGAAGUAGGUAGCUUAACCUUCGGGAGGGCGCUUACCACUUUGUGAUUCAUGACUGGGGUGAAGUCGUAACAAGGUAACCGUAGGGGAACC
RNAcentral lists this ribosomal RNA (512 nucleotides) under Klebsiella pneumoniae. RNAcentral describes it as "bacterial SSU rRNA". It matches the Rfam family "Bacterial small subunit ribosomal RNA", at positions 1000 to 1512 of the family's 1533-position model. The record is from RNAcentral. Lineage: Bacteria; Pseudomonadati; Pseudomonadota; Gammaproteobacteria; Enterobacterales; Enterobacteriaceae.